AUGGCCGGCCGCGGCGGGGCGUUCGCGCUCGUUGCGCUGUGCGUGCUCGAGCUCGCGCUGCUACAUGGCGCCGGCGCCGCCGCUGGGGAGCGGCUCGUGCCGGCCAUGUUCGUGUUCGGAGACUCGACGGUGGACGUCGGCAACAACAACCAGCUGCCUGGUUGCAAGCCCGAAUGCAGGGCCGACUACCCGCAGUACGGCGUCGACCACCCCUCCCAUGCGCCCACCGGCCGCUUCAGCAAUGGAUACAACCUCGCAGACCAGAUAGCUAAAUUACUUGGAUUCAACGAGAGCCCACCCGCUUUCCUAUCCUUCCCGGCCGGGGGCAUCAUUCCACGUAUGAAAGACGGCAUCAACUUUGCAUCGGGAGGGUCAGGGCUGCAGAACCAAACGGGCGAUCAUUGCGGGGGAGUCUACAGCAUGGCCGACCAACUGGAGGAGUUCAAGUUGGUCGUCAUGAUGCUGGGGAACGGCUCGUACGACCUCAUCUCGAGAUCGCUCUUCUUCAUCAGCGUCGGCAGCAACGACCUCUUCGAGUACGCCGACGCCAAGAACCCGCCUCCUAACCGCGACGACGCCGCCUUCCUGAAAUGCCUCGACGACUCUUACAGGACCUACCUACAGGAGCUGUAUGCGCUCGGGGCGAGGAAGUUCAGCAUCGUCAGCCCGUCGCUGGUGGGGUGCUGCCCGUCGCAGAGGGCGGCCGCGCUGCAACAUGACAAUGACUUGGACGAGCUCCACUGCUUCCGCCCGGCGAACAACCUCUCCAAGCGACUCUACACUUUGCUAGCCUCGACGCUCCAGGACCUCGGCGGCGAUCUGGACGGCAUGCACUACUCCCUCUGCGACUCGGCAGGGAUGGCCGAGGGGGUCUUCACGCCCGGCGGCGCCAAAGGCAUGUCAGCAACACCAUUUCGCCAUGCGGUAACGUGUCGGGACAUUUAUUUUAGGCCGUUCGGGCUGGGCCUGUGCAACACCACCGCCACGCUGUGCCCCAACCGCACCGACUUCGUGUUCUGGGACAGCUUCCACCCGACGGAGUAUGCGUCGGGUUUGGCCGCGUCCGCGCUCUUCGCCGACUCCGGCAAUUUCGUCCGCCCGAUCAACGUGGGGCAGCUGGCGGCGCUGUAG
RNAcentral lists this ribosomal RNA (1131 nucleotides) under Triticum aestivum (bread wheat). RNAcentral's name for it is "partial small subunit ribosomal RNA". The record is from RNAcentral. Lineage: Eukaryota; Viridiplantae; Streptophyta; Magnoliopsida; Poales; Poaceae.